GGAGAUGUAGUCUAGUGGUUAUGACGCUUGCCUGUCACGCAAGAGAUCGCGGGUUCAAUCCCCGUCAUCUCCGCCA
Molecule: transfer RNA, 76 nt
Filed under: Vibrio parahaemolyticus
Lineage: Bacteria; Pseudomonadati; Pseudomonadota; Gammaproteobacteria; Vibrionales; Vibrionaceae
Also listed under: 2 other names
Description: tRNA-Asp
Rfam family: tRNA
About the family: Transfer RNA (tRNA) molecules are approximately 80 nucleotides in length. Their secondary structure includes four short double-helical elements and three loops (D, anti-codon, and T loops).
Source: RNAcentral